ACUCAAAUGAAUUGACGGGGGCCCGCACAAGCAGCGGAGCGUGUGGUUUAAUUCGAGGCUACACGAAGAACCUUACCUGGGUUUGACAUACAAGUAGUAGUGAAGCGAAAGCGGAACGACCUUCGGGAGCUUGAACAGGUGCUGCAUGGCUGUCGUCAGCUCGUGCCGUGAGGUGUUCGGUUAAGUCCGCAAACGAGCGCAACCCUCGGCGUUAGUUACAAGUGUCUAACGCAACUGCCCGUGAGAAACGGGAGGAAGGUGGGGAUGACGUCAAGUCAGCAUGGCCUUUAUAUCCAGGGCUACACACACGCUACAAUGGGCGGUACAACGGGUCGCGAAGCCGCGAGGUGGAGCCAAUCCAUAAAGCCGUUCGUAGUUCGGAUUGCAGGCUGCAACUCGCCUGCAUGAAGUCGGAGUUGCUAGUAACCGCAGGUCAGCUAUACUGCGGUGAAUACGUUCCCGGGCCUUGUACACACCGCCCGU
RNAcentral lists this ribosomal RNA (483 nucleotides) under uncultured bacterium. RNAcentral describes it as "partial 16S ribosomal RNA". It matches the Rfam family "Bacterial small subunit ribosomal RNA", at positions 899 to 1397 of the family's 1533-position model. The record is from RNAcentral.